RNAcentral lists this long non-coding RNA (255 nucleotides) under Pan troglodytes (chimpanzee). Its description in RNAcentral is "long non-coding RNA NONPTRT017832". Lineage: Eukaryota; Metazoa; Chordata; Mammalia; Primates; Hominidae. The record is from RNAcentral.
UCAGGUUAACCAACCACUUGCAAUGACCCUAUUUCUAAAUAAGGUCACAUUCUGAGGUACUCAGGGUGAGGACUUCAACACAUAAACAGACAAAAUUCUAAAGGGGAAAUGGAAAAAAAAAAAAGCCAGAGGUGGCUAUUAAUGUCAGACAAAAUGGAUUCUGAGGAAAAAUUAAUAAAAAUACAAUCCAAAUAGAAACUCUCACAGUCAUGGAUAUGUUUGUAUUAAGCAAUAAGAUAAAAAUAUAUAAAACCA